GCUCCGGCGGUGAAGGAUGAGCCCGCGGCCUAUCAGCUUGUUGGUGGGGUAAUGGCCCACCAAGGCGACGACGGGUAGCCGGCCUGAGAGGGCGACCGGCCACACUGGGACUGAGACACGGCCCAGACUCCUACGGGAGGCAGCAGUGGGGAAUAUUGCACAAUGGGCGAAAGCCUGAUGCAGCGACGCCGCGUGAGGGAUGACGGCCUUCGGGUUGUAAACCUCUUUCAGCAGGGAAGAAGCGAAAGUGACGGUACCUGCAGAAGAAGCGCCGGCUAACUACGUGCCAGCAGCCGCGGUAAUACGUAGGGCGCAAGCGUUGUCCGGAAUUAUUGGGCGUAAAGAGCUCGUAGGCGGCUUGUCACGUCGGAUGUGAAAGCCCGAGGCUUAACCUCGGGUCUGCAUUCGAUACGGGCUAGCUAGAGUGUGGUAGGGGAGAUCGGAAUUCCUGGUGUAGCGGUGAAAUGCGCAGAUAUCAGGAGGAACACCGGUGGCGAAGG
This 500-nucleotide ribosomal RNA is filed under the name Streptomyces sp. RNAcentral's name for it is "bacterial SSU rRNA". It matches the Rfam family "Bacterial small subunit ribosomal RNA", at positions 209 to 721 of the family's 1533-position model. Lineage: Bacteria; Bacillati; Actinomycetota; Actinomycetes; Kitasatosporales; Streptomycetaceae. The record is from RNAcentral.